RNAcentral lists this ribosomal RNA (253 nucleotides) under uncultured bacterium. Its description in RNAcentral is "partial 16S ribosomal RNA". It matches the Rfam family "Bacterial small subunit ribosomal RNA", at positions 524 to 776 of the family's 1533-position model. The record is from RNAcentral.
UACGAAGGGGGCUAGCGUUGCUCGGAAUGACUGGGCGUAAAGGGCGCGUAGGCGGACUGCACAGUCAGGCGUGAAAUUCCUGGGCUCAACCUGGGGACUGCGUCUAAUACAUGUAGGCUUGAGUGUGAAAGAGGGUCGUGGAAUUUCCAGUGUAGAGGUGAAAUUCGUAGAUAUUGGAAAGAACACCGGUGGCGAAGGCGGCGACCUGGUUCAUUACUGACGCUGAGGAGCGAAAGCGUGGGGAGCAAACAGG